This 499-nucleotide ribosomal RNA is filed under the name uncultured bacterium. RNAcentral describes it as "partial 16S ribosomal RNA". It matches the Rfam family "Bacterial small subunit ribosomal RNA", at positions 28 to 507 of the family's 1533-position model. The record is from RNAcentral.
GACGAACGCUGGCGGCGUGCUUAACACAUGCAAGUCGAACGGGCCUGUCUUCUUUUUUGGGGGUGGGUUGAGUGGCGAACGGGUGAGUAUCACGUGAGUAACCUGCCCUUCGGUCCUGGAUAACCGCUUGAAAGGGCGGCUAAUACGGGGUGGUCCGGUUGGUCCGCAUGGGCUGGUCGGGAUAGAUUCACUGUUUUUGGUGUUUCGGCGGGGGAUGGGCUCGCGGCCUAUCAGCUUGUUGGUGGGGUGAUGGCCUACCAAGGCGGUGACGGGUAGCCGGCCUGAGAAGGUGGGCGGCCACACUGGGACUGAGAUACGGCCCAGACUCCUGCGGGAGGCAGCAGUGGGGGGUAUUGCACAAUGGGCGGAAGCCUGAUGCAGCGACGUCGCGUGAGGGAUGGAGGCCUUCGGGUUGUGAACCUCUGUUUCCGGUGGUGAAGGCCCUGUCCGUGUGGUGGGGUUGACGGUAGCCGGGGAUGAAGCGCCGGCUAACUACGUG